GACGAACGCUGGCGGCGUGCUUAACACAUGCAAGUCGAACGGAAAGGCCCUGCUUUUGUGGGGUGCUCGAGUGGCGAACGGGUGAGUAACACGUGAGUAACCUGCCCUUGACUUUGGGAUAACUUCAGGAAACUGGGGCUAAUACCGGAUAGGAGCUCCUGCUGCAUGGUGGGGGUUGGAAAGUUUCGGCGGUUGGGGAUGGACUCGCGGCUUAUCAGCUUGUUGGUGGGGUAGUGGCUUACCAAGGCUUUGACGGGUAGCCGGCCUGAGAGGGUGACCGGCCACAUUGGGACGGAGAUCCGCCCAAAACCCCUAGGGGGGGAAGGAGUGGGGAAUAUUGAACAAGGGGCGGAACCCUGAUGCAGAAACGCCGCGUGGGGGAUGACGGCCUUCGGGUUGUAAACCGCUUUCGCCUGUGACGAAGCGGGAGUGAGGGUAAUGGGUAAAGAAACACGGGCAAACUACGU
Molecule: ribosomal RNA, 467 nt
Filed under: uncultured bacterium
Lineage: Bacteria
Description: partial 16S ribosomal RNA
Rfam family: Bacterial small subunit ribosomal RNA
Source: RNAcentral